RNAcentral lists this ribosomal RNA (648 nucleotides) under uncultured Actinomycetes bacterium. RNAcentral describes it as "bacterial SSU rRNA". It matches the Rfam family "Bacterial small subunit ribosomal RNA", at positions 813 to 1461 of the family's 1533-position model. The record is from RNAcentral. Lineage: Bacteria; Bacillati; Actinomycetota; Actinomycetes.
GCGCUAGUUGUGGGAACCUUCCACGGUUUCUGCGACGCAGCUAACGCAUUAAGCGCCCCGCCUGGGGAGUACGAUCGCAAGAUUAAAACUCAAAGGAAUUGACGGGGCCCCGCACAAGCAGCGGAGCAUGCGGCUUAAUUCGACGCAACGCGAAGAACCUUACCAAGGCUUGACAUAUACAGGAAUAUGGCAGAGAUGUCAUAGCGGUAAAACGUCUGUAUACAGGUGGUGCAUGGUUGUCGUCAGCUCGUGUCGUGCGAUGUUGGGUUAAGUCCCGCAACGAGCGCAACCCUCGUUCUGUGUUGCCAGCAUUUAGUUGGGGACUCACAGGAGACUGCCGGGGUUAACUCGGAGGAAGGUGGGGAUGACGUCAAAUCAUCAUGCCCCUUAUGUCUUGGGCUGCACGCAUGCUACAAUGGCUGGUACAAAGGGCUGCAAUACUGCAAAGUGGAGCGAAUCCCAAAAAGCCAGUCUCAGUUCGGAUUGGGGUCUGCAACUCGACCCCAUGAAGUCGGAGUUGCUAGUAAUCGUAGAUCAGCAACGCUACGGUGAAUACGUUCCCGGGGCUUGUACACACCGCCCGUCACAUCACGAAAGUCGGUAACACCCAAAGUCAGUGGCCCAACCGCAAGGAGGGAGCUGCCAAAG